ACGCUCGACACCUACGGGAGGCAGCAGUGGGGAAUAUUGCACAAUGGGGGAAACCCUGAUGCAGCGAUGCCGCGUGAAGGAAGAAGUAUCUCGGUAUGUAAACUUCUAUCAGCAGGGAANAAAUGACGGUACCUGACUAAGAAGCCCCGGCUAACUACGUGCCAACAGCCGCGGUAAUCUGAGCGGGCUGGCAAGGC
RNAcentral lists this ribosomal RNA (197 nucleotides) under uncultured bacterium. Its description in RNAcentral is "partial 16S ribosomal RNA". It matches the Rfam family "Bacterial small subunit ribosomal RNA", at positions 328 to 539 of the family's 1533-position model. The record is from RNAcentral.